RNAcentral lists this ribosomal RNA (435 nucleotides) under uncultured bacterium. RNAcentral describes it as "partial 16S ribosomal RNA". It matches the Rfam family "Bacterial small subunit ribosomal RNA", at positions 29 to 507 of the family's 1533-position model. The record is from RNAcentral.
AACGAACGCUGGCGGCAUGCCUAACACAUGCAAGUCGAACGAUUGCCUUCGGGUGAUAGUGGCGCACGGGUGCGUAACGCGUGGGAAUCUGCCCUUAGGUUCGGAAUAACAGCUGGAAACGGCUGCUAAUACCGGAUGAUAUCGCGAGAUCAAAGAUUUAUCGCCUGAGGAUGAGCCCGCGUUGGAUUAGGUAGUUGGUGGGGUAAAGGCCUACCAAGCCGACGAUCCAUAGCUGGUCUGAGAGGAUGAUCAGCCACACUGGGACUGAGACACGGCCCAGACUCCUACGGGGGGCAGCAGUGGGGAAUAUUGGACAAUGGGCGCAAGCCUGAUCCAGCAAUGCCGUGUGAGUGAUGAAGGCCCUAGGGUUGUAAAGCUCUUUUACCCGGGAAGAUAAUGACUGUACCGGGAGAAUAAGCCCCGGCUAACUCCGUG